Molecule: long non-coding RNA, 264 nt
Filed under: Equus caballus (horse)
Lineage: Eukaryota; Metazoa; Chordata; Mammalia; Perissodactyla; Equidae
Description: lncRNA (ENSECAG00000057941.1)
Source: RNAcentral
GCCAGCUCCCCAACAGUUUUAUAUGGACUCUUGAGAACUGCCUCUGUGGCCAGAACCUCUACCAUCAGAGUGUCUUCCUUUACAUCACCGCCCAGUCCUAUUCAACUUUCAAAUGCUUCUGAGAAAGAUCAACCGUUGAUUUCUCUGUACAGUAGUACUUUCCAAUGUGCAAAUCAUCUGAGAGUGAGAGAACAAUUUGCUCAAGGUUCAAGACAAUCUCUAUACUUUAUUGGAUAUAUGAUUUGGAUUUAACUUCAGUCUGUC